GGGGACGAAACUGGCUUCGACGGGGGUCGAGGGAGUGCAGAUGGCAUACCGAGGUCCUGGUUCCUCGUUAAUCUUCCUGGAAACAAAUUUAAACGCAGAUAACUAUGCGUAUGCAAUGGCUGCCUAAUUAAGGCGCCCGUGUUAUUAGAGUCUUACCUGCCAGGCUCUGAUAACGCGACGAUAAUGACAGGUUAGUUCUUUUAUUUGCCUGAGAUAAAAGAGCGAAAUUUAAUCGGGCUGGCUCUCUUAGAAGCUUUGUUUGUUGUGCUUCAAGGAGUGAGAUUGAACAAUAGACUAAGUAUGUAGAGGUCUGUAAGACCGGGCCUUCGGACGCGGGUUCGACUCCCGCCGUCUCCACAA
RNAcentral lists this transfer-messenger RNA (360 nucleotides) under bacterium. Its description in RNAcentral is "BS750m-G10 sp016783825 Standard tmRNA". It matches the Rfam family "transfer-messenger RNA". From Rfam's summary of the family: Bacterial tmRNA, also known as 10Sa RNA or SsrA, is named for its dual tRNA and mRNA-like properties. The record is from RNAcentral. RNAcentral also lists the same sequence under 1 other name.